GAUGAACGCUGGCGGCGUGCCUAAUACAUGCAAGUCGAGCGGACCAAAGAGAGCUUGCUCUCUGAGGUUAGCGGCGGACGGGUGAGUAACACGUGGGUAACCUGCCUGUAAGACGGGGAUAACUUCGGGAAACCGAAGCUAAUACCGGAUGAUAAAGAGAAACGCCUGUUUCUUUUUUGAAAGUCGGCCUUGUGCUGACGCUUACAGAUGGGCCCGCGGCGCAUUAGCUAGUUGGUGAGGUAACGGCUCACCAAGGCGACGAUGCGUAGCCGACCUGAGAGGGUGAUCGGCCACACGGGGACUGAGACCCGGCCCAGACUCCUACGGGAGGCGGCAGUAGGGAAUCUUCGGCAAUGGACGAAAGUCUGACCGAGCAACGCCGCGUGAGCGAUGAAGGCCUUCGGGUCGUAAAGCUCUGUUGUCAGAGAAGAACAAGUACCGGAGUAACUGCCGGUACCUUGACGGUACCUGACCAGAAAGCCACGGCUAACUACGUGCCAGCCGCCGCCGUAA
RNAcentral lists this ribosomal RNA (513 nucleotides) under uncultured bacterium. RNAcentral describes it as "partial 16S ribosomal RNA". It matches the Rfam family "Bacterial small subunit ribosomal RNA", at positions 28 to 523 of the family's 1533-position model. The record is from RNAcentral.